AUGGCCACAUCAAAUUGAAACACUGGUUACCAUAUGAUCACCAAAGUCAAGCAACGUUGAGCCUGGUUAGUACCUAAAUUGGUGACCGCUUGGUAAUACCAGGUGCU
Molecule: non-coding RNA, 107 nt
Organism: Acanthosepion pharaonis
Lineage: Eukaryota; Metazoa; Mollusca; Cephalopoda; Sepiida; Sepiidae
Source: the annotation of a GenBank genome assembly